RNAcentral lists this long non-coding RNA (1143 nucleotides) under Homo sapiens (human). RNAcentral's name for it is "long non-coding RNA NONHSAT160596.1". Lineage: Eukaryota; Metazoa; Chordata; Mammalia; Primates; Hominidae. The record is from RNAcentral.
GGUACUUCUAAAAAUAACUUAUUAUUUUUACUUCUUAUUAUAAAAAUCAUACAUGGGACAUUUAGAAGAUAUAGGAGAGCAAAGGUAAGAGAAUUCACUGUGAAUUAAUUAUUCAUUGAACACCUAUUUUGUGCCAUUGACUAUCCUUAUUGCUGGGAGCACAGCGUUUAAAAAAAAACCAAAAACCUUUCUCCCACUCUAAUAGAUGAGUCACAUAAUGGGAAAACAAACAAAUGUAUCAUCUAUUAAAGUGGGAGAACUUGGUUUUGUAGUUUUAAAAGUAUUGUCAUAGAACCAACGAUACUGCUUGCAUCUAUACACCAUGAUUAGAGAGGAAGUGGAUGGAGAGUGUGUGUGUCUGAGAGAGAGAAUAUUUAGAAUGCCAAAAGCGGGCACUUCAAGGAAGGCUUUUUUUAUUUAAAAAAAAUUAGCUCAUUCUACAUACUUUAGAAAUUACCUUUGAGUAGCAAAUGUUAAGGAUAUAAAUACUUUGCACGUAUAUUCCUUGUUUAUAGUUAACCAUAUGUUAUUUUUUACCUGCAAAAUACUAAAACAUAUUCUACCUACGUGCAAUCUAAGUUUUGUAGCAGAGUCUUUUUACGGGGGCCAAACAAUUCUGGACUAAUUUUUAAAACCCUGAAAUGGCUCACUGUUUUGAGGUUAUUUUGAUGGAGUAUGAAUUUACUUCUUUGUCAUUUGGAGAAGGUGCACAGUAUUAUUAUGAACAGAGAAGAGCUGUAUGAAAACUGAUCUUCCAGCAUCUAUCAUCUCCUUUUAGUCUAAUGAGAUACUGCCAUUAUCUCCUGAUGAAAUAUUGUUCUAGAAAACCUUACCCCAUCAUACGAUUUCUGCAGAUCUUACAGGAGCAAUCUGAGCUCAAGCAAUAUUAAUUACUGUUUCAUUUGUCCAUUUGUCUGUGUAUAAUCAUGUAUUUUAAUGAUCUUCUAUUUUCUAUGGUUUGUGUAGAUUUGGAGACUAAUUCAAAAGAGUUGAAGUUUUUUGGACAUGUUUAGUUGAAUGUGCAGUUCUCUUUUGAAGAAUCCUGUCUCCAAAUCCUGUUUUGAAAAGAGUGUUGAUGAGUAGCACAGCACCUGUCAUAUUGUGAGUGUGCAAUAAAAUCAUGCCUUUUCACAAGACCAAAAA